RNAcentral lists this non-coding RNA (27 nucleotides) under Homo sapiens (human). The record is from RNAcentral. Lineage: Eukaryota; Metazoa; Chordata; Mammalia; Primates; Hominidae.
UGGGAAUCACUGGCCUUAGAAAUGGGU